Lupinus albus (white lupine) is the source of this 501-nucleotide non-coding RNA. The record is from the annotation of a GenBank genome assembly. NCBI's taxonomy places the organism in Eukaryota, Viridiplantae, Streptophyta, Magnoliopsida, Fabales, Fabaceae.
UAGCCAAGGUUAUGGGGUGAACAAUGCAGAUUUGAGUAUAAAAUUAUUCAAUGGUGGUCUAAGUUGUAGUGCAUGCUUUGUGACCAAGAUCAAGUGUUUUAAAUUGCGGUUGCAAUUAAUGCGAUUGUGGUCAUUGCGGCCGUUGUGAUGCGGAUUGCGGCCGUUACGGUGUGAAUUAUUUUAUGAUUAAAAUAAUAUUUUUGAAUUUAAUGGGCCUGAUGCAGUCCGAUACUGUCCAAAUGUGGUCCAAUGCGGUUGUGUUGUAUCCCAAUGCAGCCACAUUAUUGUGAUUUGGAGUCACACCACAAUUGCGAUGUGAUGCGGUUACGGCGGUCACCACAACCACAAUAUUGCGGCCGCAUCACCUGAUGCAGCCUGCAAUUUAUAACACUGCCAAGAUCUAAAAUGGUGCAGCCAUGGGUCCCUAUUUUAUCUUCGGUGUAUUUAUCAACUUAAUUCUAGCAUCAGAUUUGAUGUGGUGCAAAUAUUAGUUUCUCCUGC